CUAGUGGCCGAGGCCGAGGCCGUGGCUGCCGGCUGGAUGCUCGAUUUCCUCUGCCUCUCUCUUUGCUGAGCUUUCCGCGAUGGCCGCUCGGAGGACUUCCGCAGGACCCGCAACAGCGCAGAGGCUAUUAUUCAUGGACUAUCCAGUCUAACAGCUUACCAGUUGAGAACGAUAUACAUAUGUCAGUUUUUGACAAGAAUUGCAGCAGGAAAAACCCUUGAUGCACAAUUUGAAAAUGAUGAACGAAUUACACCCUUGGAAUCAGCCCUGAUGAUUUGGGGUUCAAUUGAAAAGGAACAUGACAAACUUCAUGAAGAAAUACAGAAUUUAAUUAAAAUUCAGGCUAUAGCUGUAUGGAAAAUGGCAACUUUAAAGAAGCAGAAGAAGUCUUUGAAAGAAUAUUUGGUGAUCCAAAUUCUUAUAUGCCUUUGAAAAGCAAAUUGCUUAUGAUAAUCUCUCAGAAAGAUACAUUUCAUUCCUUUUUUCAACACUUCAGCUGCAACCACAUGAUGGAGAAAAUUAAGAGUUAUGUGAAUUAUGUGCUAAGUGAAAAAUCAUCAACCUUUCUAAUGAAGGCAGUGGCAAAAGUAGUAGAAAGCAAAAGGACAAGAACACUAACUUCUCAAGAUAAACCUAAUGGUAAUGAUGUUGAAAUGGAAACUGAAGCUAAUUUGGAUACAAGAAAAAUUGUUAGUGACAAACAGUCUGCGGUAACUGAAUCCUCAGAGGGUACAGUAUCCUUAUUGAGGUCUCACAAGAAUCUUUUCUUAUCUAAGAUGCAACAUGGAGCCGAGCAACAAGACCUUAAUAAGAAAGAAAGAAGAAUAGGAAUUCUUCAAAGUACAAAAAAGAAUAAAGAAAGCAGAAAAGCCACUGAAAGCAGAAUACCUGUUUCAAAGAGUCAACCGGUAACUCCUGAAAAACAUCGAGCUAGAAAAAGACAGGCAUGGCUUUGGGAAGAAGACAAGAAUUUGAGAUCUGGCAUGAGGAAAUAUGGAGAGGGAAACUGGUCUAAAAUACUGUUGCAUUAUAAAUUCAACAACCGGACAAGUGUCAUGUUAAAAGACAGAUGGAGGACCAUGAAGAAAGUAAAACUGAUUUGCUCAGACAGCAAA
RNAcentral lists this long non-coding RNA (1115 nucleotides) under Homo sapiens (human). Its description in RNAcentral is "non-protein coding lnc-RPS6KA6-4:1". The record is from RNAcentral. Lineage: Eukaryota; Metazoa; Chordata; Mammalia; Primates; Hominidae.